RNA transcript from Eucalyptus grandis, 1135 nucleotides. RefSeq lists it as uncharacterized. The transcript is spliced from 10 exons. NCBI's taxonomy places the organism in Eukaryota, Viridiplantae, Streptophyta, Magnoliopsida, Myrtales, Myrtaceae. The record is from RefSeq and is a predicted model, not a curated record.
AAAAAAAAACCAGAUUUUUGUCGGCAUCUUCUUCCUCUUCUUCUUCGCGACCCGCUUGCUAGAGUGUGCUGCGCUUGAGCACGCCUAAUUUCGAUCACCGCAAACGUUCGUCUCGCUUUGGGCAUCAUCUUCGUCCCUGCCUAGUGCCUCGCCGCCACUCUAUACUCAAUAAAGGGAAUCGAGAUUUUCUGAAUUUGCAGAGAGAGAGAGAGAGAGAAGGAGGGAGGGAUGUCGAAGAUAUUUUCGAGGAUUGCUGGAUUUUUCAGCAGCCGGACUCUCGUGGGUAUGGAUAAGGCUGGGAAUCGCUAUUUCACUCGAAAAGAAGAGAUCGAUGGAAUCGUGAAGGAGAAAAGGUGGGUGGUAUUCAAGGGUGAGCAGGAACCUACAUCUGUUCCUGUUGAAUGGAUUUGUUGGCUGAAUGGACAGCGUAAGAUAGCUCCGACUCCAGAGGAAAUGGCGGAGCUUGAAGCUAGGCGUGAGCGGAUUAAACUUAAUGUCGCCAGGUUAAAAGAGGAAGAAGAAAAGAAAUUAAAAGAAGGCAGUAUCCGCAAAAGCAUGAGCUCUGGUAAAGUUGGAGGUCCAGACUUGGGAAGUUUUAUUCGGCAAUUUCCAUCCUCUGCAGUAGGUGACAAGGUUGAGGAGACAUCAGAUAAAACAGAUAGCUUGAGACAAACUAAAGAAAGACCAAAAGAAGAAGAAGAGAAGCCGGUCCCAGAGUCAACAGAGCCCACAGGAUCUGGUGCAUCAUUCAGGCCGGGGACAUGGCAACCGCCAACUUGAAAGUAUUCCUCCUGGUGUUCAAAAGGUUCGAUACUGCAAUACUCCGGGUCCUGUCCCUGCUUCUUUGGCGAGAUUCAUUAGUGAGAAUAGUGGGUUCUCACAAUUUUGGGCAUUGAUCUAGAUGAGGUUGCACCUUUGGGAUCACUGAUAUUCUUGCAUGUUGUGUCGCGCAACUGCAUUACAAGUACAAUGAAAAAUAAAGAGGCCAAGCGAAGGCGACGAGAUAUUUUUGGAAUUAUUUUGUCUUUCUCCUAGAAAGGAUGUUUGCUUGACAAUGUGCGAAGAUUGAGUUAAAUGCUCAAGUAGACUCGAGUUGAAUCAUAUGCAGGCUUCAGCUUGUGCGGUUUCAGUCAAA